CCAGCGUGAGCAGCUCUGCUCUUACUGCCUCAUUAUCCCAGCAUUCAGAACUGAAAUAGGGCCUGAAAGCUGAAAUAGGACCUUUUAAACUGACAAAGGAUUUUUUUUGUGCAUGAAAUGACAAGACUCCAGGAGGAAGAGCCUCAAAAAUGCCCCAAAUGUGAUGGAUUUGGGGCAGUUCUGGUUGAAGGGGCAGAGGAAGCUUUAUAUUCACCUUCUGAAGAGCUGAGGAGAUGUACAGAGCUGUCUUCAUCCAGGUCUGUCUUCCUCCAACCACGACUCCAAGCCCACAUUCUUCUUCCAUAUGUCCAUAUCCACCUCCUGUCACGACUUUAAAACUCUGUGACAGAAAAGUCUUUCCAGCCUGGAUCUGACAUGGGGAUCACUCUGUAUUUAAAGACCAAAGUGACCACAAAGUACGAAAAAUAAGAAGACCUUCAAGCAUUGACAUCUGUAAGGGGUUCCUGCUUUUCCUGGUGCUCAGAUGAGAUCAAGCAGUCUGGGAGGACAUGGUAGCUAAAGAAAUUGGCAUUUCUGUGCUGUGGAAAUGCCUUCUGGAUUGGGAAAGGAGUGGAAUUUCUCACUGCCUGAAAUCCUCUGAGGUGAAGCACAUUGCAAGAUAAAAGGCUGCUCUGGAAAAAUUAAACUUAAAA
Long non-coding RNA from Pipra filicauda (Wire-tailed manakin), 653 nucleotides. RefSeq lists it as uncharacterized. The record is from RefSeq and is a predicted model, not a curated record. NCBI's taxonomy places the organism in Eukaryota, Metazoa, Chordata, Aves, Passeriformes, Pipridae. The transcript has 3 exons.